UGCCAGCCGCCGCGGUAACACGGGGGGCGCAAGCGUUAUUCGGAAUUAUUGGGCGUAAAGGGCGCGCAGGCGGUCUUGUCCGUCAGUGGUGAAAGCCUUCGGCUCAACCGAAGAAUUGCCAUUGAAACUGAUGCUCUUGAGUACGGAUGAGGUAAGCGGAAUUUAUGGUGUAGCGGUGAAAUGCAUAGAUACCAUAAAGAACACCGAUAGCGAAGGCAGCUUACUAGACCGUAACUGACGCUAAUGCACGAAAGCGUGGGGAGCGAACAGGAUUAGAUA
This 279-nucleotide ribosomal RNA is filed under the name uncultured bacterium. RNAcentral's name for it is "partial 16S ribosomal RNA". It matches the Rfam family "Bacterial small subunit ribosomal RNA", at positions 506 to 784 of the family's 1533-position model. The record is from RNAcentral.